AGGGCAGAGAGCUGUGGGAGGAGAGAGGUAGGGGGAGGGAGAUGUAGGAGGAGAGAAAUGUAGGGAGAGAGAUGUAGGGAGAGAGAUAGAUAUAGGGGGAGAGAGAUGUAGGGAGAGAGAGAUUUAGGGGAGAGAGAGGUAGGGGGAGAGUGAGAUGUAGGGGGAGAGAGAGGUAGAGGGAGAGAGGGAGAGAGAGAGAGAGAGAGAGAUGGACUGGUGGUGGUGGUGAGUCAUGAUGUGUGUGUGAUAGCACCUGAUCUCGGUCUGCUCCACUGAACACAUGCUAAUGUGGUCUACCCCUGCACAGACAAAACCUGCAGUAGCCCCUGCUUUAACCACCCUACAGCACCGCUCACAGCCUGCCACUGGCUGUCACGCCUGUCAAUCAAUCAUCCCAGCAUAUCAGUGCAUUCGUCAGGCUUGUCAACAGUAGUGGUUGCCCGCAAUGCCUCCUGUCGGAUGCUCGGCAG
Oncorhynchus tshawytscha (Chinook salmon) is the source of this 470-nucleotide long non-coding RNA. The record is from Ensembl. NCBI's taxonomy places the organism in Eukaryota, Metazoa, Chordata, Actinopteri, Salmoniformes, Salmonidae.